GGUGGUGCACUGGUUAAAGUGUUUGGCUGCUAACCAAAAGGUUGGUGGUUUGAACCCACCAGCCACUC
This 68-nucleotide transfer RNA is filed under the name Loxodonta africana (African savanna elephant). It matches the Rfam family "tRNA". From Rfam's summary of the family: Transfer RNA (tRNA) molecules are approximately 80 nucleotides in length. The record is from Rfam by way of RNAcentral. Lineage: Eukaryota; Metazoa; Chordata; Mammalia; Proboscidea; Elephantidae.